Molecule: ribosomal RNA, 253 nt
Filed under: uncultured bacterium
Lineage: Bacteria
Description: partial 16S ribosomal RNA
Rfam family: Bacterial small subunit ribosomal RNA
Source: RNAcentral
UACGUAGGGUGCAAGCGUUGUCCGGAAUUAUUGGGCGUAAAGCGUUCGUAGGCGGUUUGUCGCGUCCGUUGUGAAAGCUUGGGGCUCAACCCCAGGUCUGCAGUGGAUACGGGCAGGCUAGAGUCAGGUAGGGGAGAACGGAAUUCCUGGUGUAGCGGUGAAAUGCGCAGAUAUCAGGAGGAACACCGGUGGCGAAGGCGGUUCUCUGGGCCUGUACUGACGCUGAGGAACGAAAGCGUGGGGAGCGAACAGG